AAUGCUGAUGUCUCUCUGCUCAGUCAGGGCUUGACUUGACUCAACGAUAUUAUUAUUAGAAAAAGGAAUAACUUAAGUAUUUUGGAGUUUGCGUAGACCACUGCUCUUGAAACCCAAAAAUUGGCAUAUGGUUAAAAAUAUCUGAAUACAGUAAGCCCAGAAAUGAAAGAAAAAAAAAAAAAAAAGCAAAGGAAAAGAAACCCUCGGGAAUCAAAGUUUCUGGGUUGUUUUCAACUUUGAUUUUGCUUCGCAAUAUAGAUGAGAAUAGCUAGACAGCACUUCCACUGCGGUGGCAGUAUUCACCAGGGGAGUUCCAAAUGCUUACAAAAAUAGCAUUUCAGGUGAUGGGGCAAGAAACAAAGCUGGUGUUCACUUCUGCCUUGAUUCUCACUUCCUGCUGUCUUAGCAGGACUCCUAAGGUCCAGAAAGGCGACCCUAAAACGGGAAGCAUGUUUCUUCCUUUUUCUAGCAUCCUAGGAGGAUAAAUGGAAAUGAAGUCCCUGGAUAUAGAUGAAGUCUUUUAAUAUUUUGUUAGAAGGAGGUAACAAGUGUCACCAUAUUCCUGAUCCAUUUUUUCAGUGCAGAGCAGACAGACCAACUGAGUACAGCACAGAAGGGGCCGAAAGGGCUGUGCUGUAAAAGGGACACCAGGGGGCAGCUCUGAGCUCUAAUUUGAGCCCGGUUUGCAAUCAGGUUUUCAUUUUCUGCCUUAGAUUUCCAUGUCACUCAAUGAACACAUGGCUGUUCUGUCCUAUAUAAAAAAGGCAAUGAUUUUCUGCUAAGGAGUUACUCUUCCUUAGAUUAAAAUAUUCGUUUUGCGUUUCUCCAAUUCACGUACAAAGGCCUUUAGAUUGAGAGGCAGUUAUGUGUUAAUUCUUAGACCAAGAAAGCUCUUCUAGACCUAAUAGCUCUGCCACUGGUAUAAAAUAAUUAUACUUCCACUGUUCAUGACUUUGAGCAAGGAAAGGCAGAAUAUCUGAAGCCUGGAAAAUCCCCAAUGUUAUUUUGGAGACUGAUAUUUACAUUUAUUUGUUACCAGACUUGUCAGAUGAUUAGAUUUGAAUUUUACCUCCUCUGUCUACAGUUUCUCACUCUUGGACGGGAGCACUACAAGGCAAGGAAAUGUGCGAAAGAAUAGGCAAAAGGAGGAUGACCCACAAAUGGAAUCAUUAUUUCUCAAAAGUUGAGGGUAGGGCUGACAAAUUCUGAGGAAAUGGAACUGCAAGUCCAGGAAAAGGUGAGGAAAUGAGGAAGAGCUCAAGGGAAGAGGCACGGCCCCCAGAACUGCUCCUGUGUUCAGACUGUUCAAAUCAUUUCCUUGCCAAAGAACUGGUGGCAGCGGGUCCGUCCGUGAGGACCUCAGAGUGGGGCUGGCAGGAAUGGGCACCCAGACGGCGAAAGCUGGUAGCAGGCAUCAGGUGUGGGUGGCUUCAGGGACCAGUGGCCAGAGACCACAGAGGGGACUGAAUGAAGUGGCGCCGUCCUGGUACCUUAUUUCUCCCGUCAGUCUGGCUUCAUGUGGACUGCCGCAAGAGUUUCUUAUUCUUACAUUCCAAUAUUUGCACAUUUAAAAAUACAUCCUCUGGUUUGCUCUCCUGCAUGUAUUCAACACCUGAAUUAAAAUGAGUUUUCUUGGU
Phacochoerus africanus (Common warthog) is the source of this 1637-nucleotide long non-coding RNA. RefSeq lists it as uncharacterized. Lineage: Eukaryota; Metazoa; Chordata; Mammalia; Artiodactyla; Suidae. The transcript is spliced from 3 exons. The record is from RefSeq and is a predicted model, not a curated record.